CCGAUCUUAGCUCAGUUGGUAGAGCGGAGGACUGUAGUUUGGUGCAGAGAAAUCCUUAGGUCGCUGGUUCGAAUCCGGCAGGUCGGA
RNAcentral lists this transfer RNA (87 nucleotides) under Oryza punctata. RNAcentral's name for it is "tRNA tRNA-Tyr". It matches the Rfam family "tRNA". Rfam says of the family: Transfer RNA (tRNA) molecules are approximately 80 nucleotides in length. Their secondary structure includes four short double-helical elements and three loops (D, anti-codon, and T loops). Lineage: Eukaryota; Viridiplantae; Streptophyta; Magnoliopsida; Poales; Poaceae. The record is from Rfam by way of RNAcentral.